GACGGGCACUUCCUGUGUCAUGGCGUACAGUGGGCUUCGUCGGUGUUGCUGAGAGUCCCUGCUGACUAGACCGGGUUUUGUGUAAUAUCGCCUGGCUGCGCGCUGCAUUCAGAGGCUCCCGGGAGACCCUAAAGCCACACAAUGGUGUCCAGGCUGACAAGCAGCUGGUGGAGCCUGGGAGACGCUUGGUGCAGCCUGGGGCAUCCCUGAAACUCUCCUGCAUGACUUCAGGAUUCACUGUCAGAAGCUGUGCCAUAAGCUGGAUCCAAAGGCUCCAGGGAAGGGCCUAGAGUGGAUCUCAUACAUAGGUGCUGGUGGUAGCACAUACUAUGCAGACUCUGUGAAGGGCUGAUUCACCAUCUCCAGAGACAACGGCAAGAACAUGCUGUAUCCAUAGAUGAGCAGCCUGAAACGGAGGAACACAGCCCUGUAUUAGUGUCCAUGACACACAGUGAAGGAACAUUUGUGUGAGCCCAGAAAAAACCUCCUGGAAGCAGCGCUUAUGCCCAGCAGAAGUCGCUGUAAUGUGAGAGAAUCACGUGCAGGCCCCAGAAGCAGGAGCUGAGAAGAAAGCAGGGGAGGGAGCUCUUCCUGGGGACUCUAGGGUUCUCUUCUGUUUUAACGUUUUAGGUCCUGAACCAACCCACAUUGAAGUACCAAAGUUCAAGGAAAAAUUCUCUGUUAAAUGUAAUUGCAUGAGUACAUAAGGAACAAUGAUUUUUUUCAUUUUCUGUGUAUGAAUUGUACUUAUGGGUAAACAAAACUUUCACACAUCUCAAAGUAACUUGUGCAUUUUGUGAAGUUAAUUUUGUUUUCAGUGUCAAAUCCUCACCAUCUAAAGUGGGUCUGUUGGUUUAGUUUGGGUAAUGAAGAACUGUCUCACGCAGUAAUAAAUGCUUCAAAUUAGGAAAUUAAAUCCUUCUCAUCUCUGUCUGUGGGGUCUCAGAUCACACAGCUCCCUCCCCUCUUUGGCCACCUCAGGAGACCUGGUCCCCAGGCUCAGCCCCAGCACCAUGAGGAACCCUGAGCUCAGGGGAGCAGUGAGAGGGGCAGCCUGACUGGACUCAGGGCAGUGUCUGUGGACCUAGAUGUGCUCUUUCUAGACUAGAGGGCUGAGUAGGACUUGGUCCUGUGCCUUUCUUUUGCACCUUACAAAUUAAAAAAUUUAUAAAAUACAGCAAAACCAUCCUCUAUCUUAAUCUCCAUUUCUCUCUCUCUCUCUUAACUUUUUAGGUUUUUUUUUAUUUUAUUUUAAAAAAGAAAAAUAGAACAUUAAAGUGAAACAAAACAAAACUGUGUUAGGACACUGGGGAAUUCACUGUUGUUACUGUAUUAGAUAAUCUCAUCCUCUAAUUAGUUGCUCAGGCUUUGUCCCAGGCUUGCAGAGUCGAUCAAAUAAUUUAAAUGUUGCUGCCUUAAUUUAGUUAGUAACAUCUUAGCCUGCACUCCGUCCCAUUGCUUAUAUGUGUGUUACUGGUGGGAGAAGGGGGAGGCUGCACAGCUUCCUUGCUGCUUCUCCCCACCUGACAGGGCCUUGCCAACACAUGUGGUGUGGCGACUGCAAUGCUUCCGGCUAUUUUCCUCAUCCAACCACACCACCAACCUGGCUCUCUUAUUCUUGCUGGGUUCCUGAAUUCUCCCUCUCUGGAUUUCAACCCACAGGUCCAACCCUUCCCAUGUCUGUGGUCCCCACCUCUGUCAUCCUGCUCUCCCUCAUGUUGCUGUAGCCCAGGGUAUGGACAGAUGAGAAGCAGAGGGUCUUCCUCUGCUGCUCACGGCUUCUCCGUUCUCCUGUUAGUGUUGUCUCUUUUUACUCAUUUCUCAGUUUUCAGUCUAUUGGGAAAACAAUGGAAAAUAAAUGAGGUGAAAAUCUCUAUUCUCACAA
Molecule: long non-coding RNA, 1885 nt
Organism: Cavia porcellus (domestic guinea pig)
Lineage: Eukaryota; Metazoa; Chordata; Mammalia; Rodentia; Caviidae
Exons: 2
Source: RefSeq, a predicted model, not a curated record